This is a long non-coding RNA of Liolophura sinensis, 4573 nucleotides long. RefSeq lists it as uncharacterized. The transcript is spliced from 3 exons. The record is from RefSeq and is a predicted model, not a curated record. Lineage: Eukaryota; Metazoa; Mollusca; Polyplacophora; Chitonida; Chitonidae.
UAUUCUCAUUUAGUAAGGCCCUCUCUGGCUACUUUGGCUAUAGUUGGUCAGGGCCGUUUAUUCCGGAAUUUUGUCAGGUACGCCUCACUGGCGAAGGGAGGCAUUUUUUAUAGGUUCGAUUUUAGGGGCAUUGCGAUUUUGUAUGUCGUUUCUAUCCGUAUCUAGACCACAACUCCAGAAUUUUUGCGUGGGGAGUUCAAUUUUUGGUGGAUUCAUAGACACAGCGAUGAGGAUUUUUGUGUUUUCUGCAGUCGAUAUUUUACCUAUAUGCACUAUAUGAACUAUAUGAAAAUAGAUACGACUUUGUUUCAGGGUUCCCAUUUCAAAUCCAGCUAGUGCAGUUUUAAUUUUUGGUGAAUAUAUACAGGGGGAAAGUUGACGAUUUGUUGCGCUUUUCUGCGAUUGCAAUGAUAACCAGAUUUCCCCAUAUCUAUUAUAUAAAUCGAAGUAUCACCAUGUGAUGAGGUGUUUGAGUGUGACGUCAUAUAUGUAAACAAUUCUGUUUUAUGUAUAAUUUUAAGAAUGUAAUAUCAUGAGAGAAAUACCUGUGAACAAACUUGACAACACGUUCGAUUUAUUUAGUAAGCUGCUCAUUUAGAGUAGAGCGACACAAGUGUGAUCCAAAGUAUCGGUCCUGUGAUCCGUGAGAAUGUAAAUCAAAGCUUGCAUUAUGUUGGCUAGUGGUAGGCCUAUGAACGUUUCAUAUUACAAACACAUAAUUUUGGUGCACCAGCGUGUUAAGUCUCACAACAUCGGAUUUUGCCCUCAAAUCAAUGAUGGUUGGUUUUACCCAUGAUCACUCACUUUGAUUUUCUCAGAUCAUUUAGGCCUACUCAUGAUGAGAGGAGUUAAUGCCCUCCUAGAUAGCCCCUCUCUGUGGCCUCAUAGGCCAGUGGCCUGGUAACGAGAGUAUUUGGUAUCUUAUUCAAUAACACAAGUGAACGGUUUGGCUGGGCGCCGAAUACGCUAUUUUACAGCGGCGAAGAAGUCGUUUACUCUGACUUCAAUGUGUUGCCACUCAUGCGUUCCCUACCGGCUCUUCUUUUUGCCGGCACUGGUCAAUGAGACGUAAUUUUAUUUUAUUAAUUCAUGGUCCAGGAAUAAAAUUAGGUCACGUAGGAUAGCCUCGCUUUCGAUCAGUCGAGGGCAUUGACAUGGACUUGGGGUUAUUGACUUACGCCUUGUGAGUAGGAACGCUUUGGAGUUAUUUUAAUCCAAGGUCGUGGGAGUAUUGCCCUGCUGCUGCUGGUCCCUCAAACCAUGACAACCGGUACAGAUAAACUUAUAAACUGUUGCAAUGGAAAAAAAAGAAGAACAGAAUGCAGAAAUAAGGCACUUACAUACAUGUAUAAAACUGACAUGUAGUAAGUGGGCGCUGUAUUUCACCAUUUAAAUCAGUAAACAUUUUGUCUUAAUGAUCCGGAAAAUAGAUCAUCGUACAUCACGCUGUAAGCUUAAAAUAACUGAAUUAAUACAUAUCUGUAGGCCUAUUUGUUUUCUUUUUCGAAUGUCGUGUCAAGAGGAAUUAUCUUUGCCAUGGAUUUGAUGCACUACAUGUGCUGUUGCCUGGCUCCUUUGCUGCUAUGGGCAAGGGGACAGGAAGCAGGGUUCUGGGGAUCGCUUGCAUCGCACAUUUCUGUUGGAAAACUACCCUAAAUGCCAGGGAUCGAAGUCGGGGAAGCUGUCGGAAGAGACGAGGGAUAAAAAAAUGUCUGUCGACUCCGAGCGAGCACCAAACGAGACCAUGAGGAAAAAUCCACAGGCAUCGUACCGGAAAAUUGUCGUCACAGACGGAGUUCUGUCGGAAUCACGACGGAAAAGGAAGGCAGCUCCGUACAAGAAACCGUGCAAAGAUUCCGGCAAAUGUACUCCGGAACCAACGCUCUGCAAAGCGUGCGGUAACAUUCCUAAACCCCAAAGAAACACCGAGGAAGACAGCGAAACGUCGAAGGAGACAUCGCCAUCAUACUGUGUCGGACUUCACUUUCUCAACACAAGCCGAUCUUCUUCCAGUCUCAGCAACGGUCCGCUGAAACAGAAAAACGGUGACUGUCGACAGUUAGCCCCGCCCGGAACACGAUUUCUCAGAGUCCUUGACAUUGUUGAACAUCAGAUUUCCAAGAACUUCGUGUAACGCUGACCCAAACAAUUUCCUUUUGUCGUAUGAGGUUGACUCUUGUGUAUGGUUUACCAGUGACACAGAGGUGACUCUUGGUGCAUGAAUAAGCUCGGCGAGGACUCCAUGGACUGAAUUGACUCCAGUGACUCUGGUGUCUGUGUCGGAGUAGAUUGUGAAGAAAAAAUGGUGGUGUUAUCGUCUGUGACGUCGUCAAGGAUGUACUCCCUCAACGGUGUGCCCCAACUCCUGCGCUCGUGGGUGAAGUUGGGCCGAGGGGUGAGAAUUGGAGGGCGAGGAGGGGGCCAGCCUACCCGGUUAACAGUAUGUUUACAUCCAUCUCCCCAGAAAACGUUGAUACGAAGACAUCUGAAGCUUUGCUCAACUUCCAAGUGAUUCGGCUCACUAUCUUGUGAUCAUCAUUUAUAAUGUUGACUCAUUUUUAUCAAAUACUUUUAUCUCAACUUUUUCAACCACCAAAGCACUUUUUUUUCUGCGGAAUUAAUGCAUAUAAUCAUUUUUGAAAAUGACGCUAAAAAUGAUACCUUUGUGUCGUUGAAGAUGCAAGCUUUAUAAAAGCAUGCAAAUUAUUUCACUCAAAAUGUUUGAAAAUAUAGGUUGCAGAGGUGGUUGAAAAGGUUGAAGAAGUAGGGUAUGUUUAUGAGCCAUUUUGACAUAUCUUCAUGCGUCAUUUUUUUACCAACAUUAAAACCAGAAAGUGUCCAACUUUCUGGUAUUUGGUCGCGCACGUGCACAAAACAGUAACCUCCAGUAGUCAUUUGGUCAUCUUCACGUUGUGUUCUGAAAACAAAGCACAUUUGUAACAUUUUUUCUGAUUACUUUUCUUUACCAAGAAGGGCCUAUUCAGCGUAUGUCAGUUCUUCACACCAGGCGCAGUUGUAUCAGAUGUUCAUAUAUUUGUGAUCCUUAUGCUAGACGUUGUCUAUAAUAAGGACAUGGGAAGGGAGCUAACUUGAUGAGCGCAGUGGCUUUACGAGAAUUUCACAUACGCAUGGGGUUGUUUUGUUUUCAACCGAACAUCUGCAUCUGUCAACUCAUCUAUCAGUAUUUUAUCAUUAUUUGCAUCAGUGGUUGUCGACGUCACAGGCGUUACGUCAUCAAAAGUGUCUUUAACAACAUAGACCAUGAACUCAAGAGAACUGACUGUCUUUAUUAAGCGUACAAGAUGCAAAUGUGUCAUUUUCAACCGUGUGCAUCAUACGAGAGAAACAGUUCAUACUACUUUACUUAACCAAGAAGACAAAGAGGUUUUAUGGCAUUCUCAUCACCAUGAUUUUAGCCACUGUUAACUUUUAGGAUUAAGUCAAAUCUGACGACUAGUUCUCAACAGAUGUAUAUUUCUGACUCAUUUCUUUUUAGGCAUAGAUCGCUGUUGUGUUGAUCACAACGUUGUUCUUUCCUUUUUUGUGUAAAUGUCUCCACAAAUCGCAUCGACUUCUAACUCGGAGUACGGAACAGGCUAGCAUACACGCAGUUCAAAAUCAUCUGCGAUUCCUGGCGUAUAAUGAAAUGCAUAUCUGUUAUGACUUAUAUGUGUACAUGACAACUGCAAUCAAAACUGUUAAAGACGUCCUUGAGUUUCGUUUUACCGUUAAGUGAUAAGUUAGUGCUAAAUGCAAACUCGAGGACAGGCCACACUUUUGCAAAAUGCAAAAGUUAUUGCUUUUAACCAAACGAAUGUUUUUCCAUCUCGUAACAAAUAUCAGUUGACAAGUUAUUACUUGUAAUUAACUGUAUAUCUUGCAAUGUCUUUACAGUUAACAAGUUAUAAGGGAAUACUUGAAAUUCGCGAUUAUCUACAUAAACUAAACCUUUUCUUGGGGUUCAAGUCUACGUGUCAAUAGUAUACUCUUCUUUGUCUCUUUUUUUUACGCCGAUCUUUCGUCUCAUUAUUUUACAUGUGUUCAUGUCUUUGUUUAACGUCUUGUUAGAAUAUCCCCGCUAUCGUGCAUUUCAUUAAGGAGCCGUGAUAAGGAUUGGUUUUUUAAGUUCAACGAAUGUUGUUCUUGAUUAAGGUAAGCUUUUACUAUUUGUUGACAUCAUACUCAUUCACCUCUGGCGUGCACCGGGGGUGUAGAAGUGCUCAGUGACACCGGAUCUUUGGUAACAUAGAUUACAAAUGUGUCAGACGUCGUUAUGUAAGAGACUUUCUUAUACAAUCGUUUGAGCACUACAUUUAGUAUGUCCGGAUAUGUUACAUAGGAAUACUCUUGUUGAGGUGAUCUUGGUGUAUUUAUAUUAUUAUUGCCAUUCAUCUGUCACGUAAAUAAUAUGAGUUGUCAUGCUUUGGGGUUUUUGCAAAGGCCAAUAAAUCUGGUGUAUGUAUGGGUGUUUUUUGCACAGGCCGAUAAAUCUGGUGUAUGUAUGGAGUUUUUGACCACAUUAAUCAAAACAUGAUUAAAUAAUAGUACACAGAACAUUUGUUCAUUUUUCCUU